AAAGCAUAGAUAUCAACGAACGCGAAGCGGGAAAAGGGAAGUGCUCUUUCCACUGGUAUAGAAGCCCAUGGCGCCAGUAUUGCCGAGCUCGCAACCAUGGGUUGAGAAAUAUCGGCCUAAGCAAGUGAAGGAUGUGGCUCACCAGGACGAGGUCGUUCGUGUCCUCACCAACACCCUCGAGACCACUAAUUGCCCACAUAUGCUCUUUUAUGGCCCUCCUGGUACCGGCAAGACCACCACCGCAUUGGCCAUCGCCCACCAGCUUUUUGGGCCUGAACUCUACAAAUCCAGAGUUUUGGAACUAAAUGCAAGUGAUGAUCGUGGUAUCAAUGUUGUCCGGACUAAGAUAAAGGAUUUUGCUGCAGUGGCUGUACGUUCUGGUCAGCAUGGAGGGGAUUACCCUUGUCCACCGUAUAAGAUCAUUAUACUAGAUGAGGCAGAUUCAAUGACUGAAGAUGCUCAGAAUGCUCUGAGACGCACGAUGGAAACUUACUCCAAAGUUACGAGAUUCUUUUUCUUAUGCAAUUAUAUCAGCAGGAUCAUAGAGCCUCUUGCUUCAAGAUGUGCGAAAUUCAGGUUCAAGCCACUUUCAGAAGAAAUUGUGAGCAGUCGUAUAUUGCACAUUUGCAAUGAAGAAGGCCUUAGUCUGGAUGCAGAGGCUCUUUCAACCUUAAGCUCUAUAUCACAAGGUGAUCUUCGUCGGGCUAUCACAUACUUGCAAGGAGCUGCUCGUUUAUUUGGAUCAACAGUUUCGUCUAAGGAUCUACUAAGUGUGUCUGGGGUAAUAUGAUGAUUUCCUUGAGCUUUAUUUGUUCUGGCGGUAAAUUUCCUGGAAAUUUGUUCUUGAUAUUUCAAUGUUUGCAUUUGAAUCUGUCUGCUUACUUUUAUAAUUGUAUGCAUUUAUACAUUUGCAUACAUACAUUAGUAAUUUUUCUUUGCAAGGUUUAUUGAUAGAGUAUAAGUUUUUGUAAACAAUUAAUGCUCUGCCCUUGGCAGUAAGAUAUAAGACAAUUCCUUAUGAGGGCCAAACGAACCUUGGUGCUUAGGAAGCUGAGUAUUUUGAUUUGCAAUAAUAAACAAGUGCAAUUUGCUGGAAUAUUGGAUGUUUUAGAGAUUAGAAUCUGUCUUUUGGUUUAUCAGGUCAUUCCUCAAGAGUUUUUAGGGGCACUUCAUGCAGCAUGCAAAAGUGGGGACUUUGAUUCGGCAAACAAGGAGGUCAAUAAUGUAAUUGCAGAAGGCUAUCCAGUCUCUCAGAUGCUUGUUCAGGUACUAUUUUGCUUACUAUGAUGCUUCCAUCAACCUUGCUGGUUGCUAGAUAAAUAUGCGAUCGAUAUGAUAUUUUCUUCCAGUUAUUUGAGCUAGUGGUUGAAGCAGAUGACAUAUCAGAUGAACAGAAAGCUCGAAUAUGCAAGAGUUUGGCUGCAGCUGAUAAGUGUCUUGUUGAUGGCGCAGAUGAAUACUUGCAGCUGCUGGAUGUGGCCAGCAACACAAUCCGGGCUCUUUGUAACAUGCCGCAAGAUUUCUCUUAUGAGAAUUAGGUAGCACUCUAACUAAGAUUGAGAUGCAGCACAUGGUGAGAUCUUGUAUGAUAACUUAGUUUGCUUUUGAUCCCGAACUUGAAUUUACGAGUGAGUGAUGGAAAUUUGUUCUCUAUUUAAAACUUAUUUUAGAUAUGGGAGCUGCAGAUUUACGGGCAUAGAAACUUGUUCUUGUCACAGCACGCGAGUGUAGCUUGUCAGAUUUAUGAGCCAAUUGAUUGAAAUAUUUAUAAAUGCUUGGACAAAAUGAGAAUGUUGUAUAUUCGCUUCUUGCCUACGAUUUUCAAGUCGAUAUGAUUAUAGUUGUCCAAGCAUUUGAAGGUCCUUUCACAUUCACAUGAUCAAUACAACUACAUUAGUGGCCAUUUUACCGUUGCAACUUGUAAACAGGCUUGUCUUGUCAGGCUUUGCAGACAUCAUAUAUGAUGCAUGAUCAUGUCUGAUAUUUGAAAUUCCAAGUGGAGUCCGAGAUCAUUGUUUUCUGUGGCAAAUAGUGGAGCCCAUAUCGUUCCAUUUCAAGGUAAUUGUGCCACUCUGCCAUGGUGAAGAUGAGC
This 2092-nucleotide unclassified non-coding RNA is filed under the name Hevea brasiliensis (rubber tree). Lineage: Eukaryota; Viridiplantae; Streptophyta; Magnoliopsida; Malpighiales; Euphorbiaceae. The record is from RNAcentral.